RNAcentral lists this unclassified non-coding RNA (461 nucleotides) under Plectosphaerella sp. Ym5a. Its description in RNAcentral is "partial contains ITS1, 5.8S rRNA and ITS2". The stretch from base 140 to 293 matches the Rfam family "5.8S ribosomal RNA". The record is from RNAcentral. Lineage: Eukaryota; Fungi; Ascomycota; Sordariomycetes; Glomerellales; Plectosphaerellaceae.
CUGAGUACUACACUCUCUACCCUUUGUGAACUAUUAUACCUGUUGCUUCGGCGGCGCCCGCAAGGGUGCCCGCCGGUCUCAUCAGAAUCUCUGUUUUCGAACCCGACGAUACUUCUGAGUGUUCUUAGCGAACUGUCAAAACUUUUAACAACGGAUCUCUUGGCUCCAGCAUCGAUGAAGAACGCAGCGAAACGCGAUAUGUAAUGUGAAUUGCAGAAUUCAGUGAAUCAUCGAAUCUUUGAACGCACAUGGCGCCUUCCAGUAUCCUGGGAGGCAUGCCUGUCCGAGCGUCGUUUCAACCCUCGAGCCCCUGUGGCCCGGCGUUGGGGAUCUGCCACGGCAGGCCCCUAAAACCAGUGGCGGACCCGAAGGCCCUCUCCUUUGCGCAGUAGCAUCAGCCUCGCAUUGGGAUCCCUCGGCGUCCUGCCUUUAAACCCCCCACAAGUCCGCUCCGGCGGCAC